Molecule: long non-coding RNA, 1372 nt
Organism: Megalobrama amblycephala (Wuchang bream)
Lineage: Eukaryota; Metazoa; Chordata; Actinopteri; Cypriniformes; Xenocyprididae
Exons: 2
Source: RefSeq, a predicted model, not a curated record
UGUGUGUGUGUUUGAGUGAGAGAGAAAGCAGGAGAAAGAGAGUAUGACAUUUCAGGGCAUAAUAAAAUGUAUUUUGUGGCAAAAACCAUGACAAUAAUUUGUUGUUUUAUCCUGUAGUUUUACUAUAUUUAUUUGCUUGGUCAGUGUCAUUUUGGGUUUUAUUAUGUUACAAAUGUAACAUUGAUUUUCCAAGAUUUCAGGGGCUUUAAGGGCCCUUAACAUGACUAAAAACAAAUAUAGCACGCACAUUUUCUCUGGCAACAGUGAUCUGAUCAUCUUUGGGACAGAAUAUUAAACCUAAGGCAGCCAUUGAUGUUCCAUGGACUGCUCUUAAACACGCAGAGUAUGAAAUAUUAAUACAUAUUUUCAGCUAAUGUGUUAAUGCUAAUUGCGACUUCUUAUCAGGUAUAUACAAUUACAACACUGUUAUUUCAUUUUCACAUAUUUAGUGCUUUGAUUCAAAUUAUGUUGGCCCUAUACAGUAAUUUGUGUAAUGUAUUAAGUACUUUUUGUCCUUUUGCAGUUUUCUUUAUUGGCUGAAACCUUAGCCCAUGAAAGGCAAGACAUACAAAUCCGUACGAAAGCACAGGAAAAGGCUCUGCAGAAAAUGAAAAGAGAGUUAAGGAACAAGAUGGAGAAAGAGAUUGGCGAGCUGCAGGAGAUCAUCAUUCAGAAUGAUGAAAAUAAUUAUUUCAGAGACUUGGAAGUGGAACGCUUACAGAAACAUGUACAGAUGGCAUCUUUCCAGUACACUACCAGCUGCCUGCAGUGAUCACUAGCCGAUUAAGCGGUGAUAGAUACUGAUUCCCAAUGCAUUUCUCUUACAUGCUAAUCUUUAGAAAGGUACCUUGAAAAUAGAAAUUUAAUGUGUAAACAGUUUUAGAUGUACUUGCAUUGUUCUUGUAAAAGAUUCACAUUAUAUAUAUACAUUGUUUUUUGUAUUGUGUUUAGAAUACCUAAUGUUGCACCUGAAGUACUGGCAUCAAAUCAGACAGAAGUCAGUAUCAGGUUUGACCGGUUUAUAGUGGAAGAUUUUUUGGACUAUAAAUUUGUCUAUAGAACAAGCUAAACUUUUUAAUGAGACUUCCACUGCUGUUAUAGUCUUCCACUUUAUUAGCCUUAAUCUGAGAAAACUGUAAUGUUUGCCAUCUUAAAUGUGCUUCCUGAGUAAGUUUGUGAUCUAGUGUUUUGGUAUUUACAUCAAACUAAAUGUUGAAUUUUUCUUUCUUGAAUAUCUUAUUCCUGCAAAUUCAUGCCAUGAUGUUUUAUGAAUUUAGAUUCCAUCAAUCAAUCUCUGAUGUAAAGGGCAAAUAUUAGCCCAAAAGGGAAAUAUUUAUAAUAAAUUAUGAUCAAUAAAACGUAUUUGGAUCAA